This is a non-coding RNA of Arachis ipaensis, 1001 nucleotides long. The record is from RefSeq and is a predicted model, not a curated record. Lineage: Eukaryota; Viridiplantae; Streptophyta; Magnoliopsida; Fabales; Fabaceae.
UUUGAACUGACGUAUAGAUAGUGAAAAUUGUUGUAUUCCUUGAAACUGUGAUUGAAUCAGAGUAAAAAAGCUUCGUUUUUUGAGAAUGUUAAUGCAAUCUACGUAUGUUCUCCAUGUAUUUUAAAUUUUUCGUAAUUAUUCUGCAGUGUUUGUUGAGGUUCCUUAAAAAGGAGAACUCAAAGUUAUUAACUGCCUCUUCAGUGUUUCUUCCAAGUCACCCAAUGGUGGUUUCAGUUAUUCAGACUAGGAUGAUGGAGCUUACAAGGGAGCCAGAAGCACCAGACAGGGCAGUGGCUCAAUGGCAUCUCUGGAAGAGCAUAGUGGCAGAAUGGUGGGCUGCACUUGAAGAGGAGAAGAUUAGGAGAUCUCGAUGUCAGCAAUGGUGGAAUGAUGCGACAAAAGAGGGGAGCACAUAGACAACCUUUUGGUGGUUUGAAGUCACUUCAUCAAAGCAUCAGAAUGAGUUUCCAUCAGUGCCUCCUGUAAACUCAGCUUACUCUAUCCAGUUUGAUGCAGUUGAAAAUGAAUCAUAUCAAAGCUCCCUAAAGUACCCUAGCAGACAAAUAAUUUUGGAUUAAUGAAGAUCAUCAAGUAAUGCAAAAAAUAAUUCUGUAAGAGAAUUUUUUGCUGAAAUGUGAACAUGAGUCAUGGUGUUGUGCAUGUCUUUGGUUCAAGGGAGGCUUACCCUUCAAAAGCAGUGUGAACUGAGUUACUUUGAGCAUACUUUCGAGUACUGAAUUGUUUGAAGAUCAAGUAAAAGACAUUGGUUAAUAUAGCUGUUGAUAGUGGAUGUUACAUAUAUUAAAGUCCAAGCUUAAAUAUUCUCAUGGAUUAUCCCAACUUUAAAAAGAUGACUUCAUUGCAAUUUCAUGAUUGGCCUAAGGUACCUUCAUUUAAAAGGAAAAAUAAGAUAACACUUGAAUUUUAUCUUCUUUUUGAAACUAUGCUACCUUUGUUGUGGCAUAUACUACACAAAUGUAAGUUGAUGUAAUGUUCAUGGU